This 32-nucleotide non-coding RNA is filed under the name Geobacter sulfurreducens KN400. Lineage: Bacteria; Pseudomonadati; Thermodesulfobacteriota; Desulfuromonadia; Geobacterales; Geobacteraceae. The record is from RNAcentral.
CACAAAAAAAGGGGGCCAAUUAGCCCCCAUAA